CAUGUAGGCGGUUAGAAAAGUGUGAAUUGAAAGGCAGAGGCUUAACCUCUUGUUUGGUUUGCAAACUCUCUAACUAGAGUACGGAAGGGGAAACUGGAAUUCCGCGUGUAGGGGUGAAAUCUGUAGAUAUGCGGAAGAAUACUUGUGGCGAAGGCGAGUUUCUGGUCUGUAACUGACGCUGAAAUGCGAAAGUGUGGGAGCAAACAGGAUUAGAUACCCUGGUAGUCCACACUGUAAACGUUGUACACUAAGUGUUAGGGGUAUCGACCCCCCUAGUGCUGUAGCUAACGCGAUAAGUGUACCGCCUGGGGAGUAUGCUCGCAAGGGUGAA
RNAcentral lists this ribosomal RNA (331 nucleotides) under uncultured bacterium. Its description in RNAcentral is "bacterial SSU rRNA". It matches the Rfam family "Bacterial small subunit ribosomal RNA", at positions 568 to 898 of the family's 1533-position model. The record is from RNAcentral.